RNAcentral lists this ribosomal RNA (1239 nucleotides) under metagenome. Its description in RNAcentral is "bacterial LSU rRNA". It matches the Rfam family "Bacterial large subunit ribosomal RNA", at positions 1564 to 2813 of the family's 2925-position model. The record is from RNAcentral.
UGAAUACGAGACGCUAAGGCGUCGAAGUAGUGUAUGUCAUACUUCCAAGAAAAGCUUGCACUGUCAUAAGUAAAAAAUGCCUGUACCAUAACCGACACAGGUGGGUAGGUAGAGUAUACUUAGGGGCGCGAGAUAACUCUCUCUAAGGAACUCGGCAAAAUAACUCCGUAACUUCGGGAGAAGGAGUACCUUAUUCUAUAAGGUUGCAAUAACAAGAUCCAAGCAACUGUUUAUCAAAAACACAGGUCUCCGCUAAGUCGUAAGACGAUGUAUGGGGGCUGACGCCUGCCCAGUGCCAGAAGGUUAAAGAAGUCGGUUAGCAUUAGCAAGCUGGUAACUGAAGCCCUGGUGAACGGCGGCCGUAACUAUAACGGUCCUAAGGUAGCGAAAUUCCUUGUCGGGUAAGUUCCGACCCGCACGAAAGGCGUAAUGAUUUGGAUACUGUCUCGGAGAGGGGCUCGGUGAAAUAGACUUGUCUGUGAAGAUGCGGACUACCUGCACCAGGACAGAAAGACCCUAUGAAGCUUUACUGUAACUUGAAAUUGAAAUUGGACUUUAUUCGCGCAGUAUAGGUGGGAGGUGUUGAUUAUAAUCUUGCGGGAUUAUUGGAGCCAUCAGUGAGAUACCACUCUUGUAAUGUUAGGUUUCUAACUUUGAAUCAUUAUCUGGUCAAAGGACAGUUUCAGGCGGGCAGUUUGACUGGGGCGGUCGCCUCCCAAACGGUAACGGAGGCGUACAAAGGUUUCCUCUGAACGGGUAGAAAUCGUAUCUAGAGUGUAAAGGCAUAAGGAAGCUUGACUGUGAGACCUACAAGUCGAACAGGGACGAAAGUCGGUCUUAGUGAUCUGACGGUACUGAGUGGAAAGGCCGUCACUCAACGGAUAAAAGUUACUCUAGGAUAACAGGCUGAUCUCCCCCAAGAGUUCACAUCGACGGGGAGGUUUGGCACCUCGAUGUCGGCUCAUCGCAUCCUGGGGCGGUAGUACGUCCCAAGGGUUGGGCUGUUCGCCCAUGAAAGCGGUACGCGAGCUGGGUUCAGAACGUCGUGAGACAGUUCGGUCCAUAUCCGGUGUAGGCGUUAGAAUAUUGAGAGGAGCCUUCUUUAGUACGAGAGGACCGAGAAGGACAUACCUCUGGUGUACCAGUUAUCGUGCCAACGGUAAACGCUGGGUAGCUAUGUAUGGAGCGGAUAACCGCUGAAAGCAUCUAAGUGGGAAGCCCACCUCAAGAUAAGUAUUC